UCCGUGCCGUAGGGAAACCAUUAAGUACGCCGCCUGGGGAGUACGGCCGCAAGGUUGAAACUCAAAUGAAUUGACGGGGGCCCGCACAAGCGGUGGAGCAUGUGGUUUAAUUCGACGCUACGCGCAGAACCUUACCUGGGCUUGACAUGUUUGUGGUAGGAACCCGAAAGGGUGACGACCCAUUCUUCGGAAUGGGAGCUUACACAGGUGCUGCAUGGCUGUCGUCAGCUCGUGCCGUGAGGUGUUGGGUUAAGUCCCGCAACGAGCGCAACCCUCAUCCUUUGUUGCCCUUAACGGGGCUCUCUAAGGAAACUGCCGGCGAAGAGCUGGAGGAAGGUGGGGAUGACGUCAAGUCCGCAUGGCCCUUAUGCCCAGGGCUACACACGUGCUACAAUGGCAGAUACAAAGGGUGGCCAAACCGCGAGGUGGAGCCAAUCUCAUAAAGUCUGUCCAAGUUGGGAUCGGAGUCUGCAAUUCGACUCCGUGAACCUGGAAUCGCUAGUAAUCGUGGAUCAGAACGCCACGGUGAAUACGUUCCCGGGCCUUGUACACACCGCCCGUCACACCACGAAAGUCUGUUGUACCCGAAGUGGGUGAGCCAACCAGCAAUGGAGGCAGCUUCCUAAGGUAUGGCCGGUAA
RNAcentral lists this ribosomal RNA (640 nucleotides) under uncultured bacterium. Its description in RNAcentral is "bacterial SSU rRNA". It matches the Rfam family "Bacterial small subunit ribosomal RNA", at positions 840 to 1474 of the family's 1533-position model. The record is from RNAcentral.